UAAUACGAAGGUCCCAAGCGUUGUUCGGAAUCACUGGGCGUAAAGCUUGCGUAGGCGGCAUGGUAAGUCAGAUGUGAAAGCCCGGGGCUCAACCCCGGAACUGCAUCCGAUACUGCCAAGCUAGAGUAGUGGAGGGGAGUCUGGAAUUCACGGUGUAGCAGUGAAAUGCGUAGAUAUCGUGAGGAACACUAGUGGCGAAGGCGAGACUCUGGACACUAACUGACGCUGAGGCACGAAGGCUAGGGUAGCGAAAGGGAUUAGAUACCCCUGUAGUCCUAGCAGUAAACGGUGCGCGUUUGGUGUGGGCAGGUUCGACCCUGUCCGUGCCGGAGCUAACGCGUUAAACGCGCCGCCUGGGGAGUACGGUCGCAAGACUA
This 377-nucleotide ribosomal RNA is filed under the name uncultured Verrucomicrobiota bacterium. RNAcentral describes it as "bacterial SSU rRNA". It matches the Rfam family "Bacterial small subunit ribosomal RNA", at positions 521 to 896 of the family's 1533-position model. Lineage: Bacteria; Pseudomonadati; Verrucomicrobiota. The record is from RNAcentral.